GACAGAGGAGCCAAGCGUUGUCCGGAAUGACUGGGCGUAAAGCGCACGCAGGUGGUCGUGUACGUGUCGUGUGAAAGCAGCUCGCUUAACGAGCUGAGGCCACGACAGACUGCGCGACUGGAGCCCGUGAGAGGUCCGUGGAAUUGCCGGUGUAGUGGUGAAAUGCGUAGAGAUCGGCAGGAACACCCAGGGGGAAACCAGUCGACUGGGCAUCUACUGACGCUGAGGUGCGAGAGCGUGGGGAGCGAACCGG
Molecule: ribosomal RNA, 253 nt
Filed under: uncultured bacterium
Lineage: Bacteria
Description: partial 16S ribosomal RNA
Rfam family: Bacterial small subunit ribosomal RNA
Source: RNAcentral